UCGCGCUUCCGGUUCCGGCGGCCAGACGGCGGCAGGGGCCGGCCGCGCUUAGGCCGCGGCGGGCGGCAGGGGGAGAGGGCGAGAUGUGGACGCCGCCGCCGCUGCUGCCCUGGCUCCUGGCGGGGCUGCUGCUGGCCGCCCGUUGCGGGGAGGCCACGGCGGCGGCCCGUCCCCCCCCGGGUGCCGCCACAGCCUUCCCGCGCCCCACGGAGGUGGCCGGCGGGGCUGCCACGCGAAGCAGCAGCAGCAGCAGCAGCAGCCGCCUGUCUGAGGUGUCGGCGCCGCCCGAGCAGGGCCAGCCCAUGACCCAGCGCGCCCUGUCCGUGCUGGUGCUGGCCAGCGCCGCCCUCAUCGUCUACUUCGUGAUCCGGACCGUGCGGCUUAGAAGGCGAAACAGAAAAACCCGAAGAUAUGGAGUUUUGGAUACAAACAUAGAAAACAUGGAGCUGACUCCAUUAGAACAAGAUGAUGAUGAUGACGAUACAACACUAUUUGAUGCCAAUCAUCCUCGAAGUUGGAGAAGGGAUGUCAAGAUCACUUGAAUUUUAAAUGGGCAAGAAUUUAGUGGGCAAGAAGAUAAACACCGUUUGUCUUCAGCAUGUGAGUUCCAGAGAAAUGGAGAGGAAGACAAAAAAAUUCUGGUAGCGACUGGACGACGUCAGCUUUUCAAGAAAGGAAUUAGUUGAAGAACUGCCUGUCAAAACUGAACACAAGAAGCUCAUUGAGAUUUCAACAAAGCCCUUCUCAGAAGCUGAAGGCAUGAGAGGCAAAUACCAAGCGUUGGAUUUCUCAUCUGGCCCCUAAGAAAUACUACAUAUUUGAUAAAACCAAGGCGUACCAGAGAUGAACACCUUCCUAGUCUCUCAUAAAUUCCUCUAGAAGACCAUAGAACAAGACUACAUCUGAAAUACUUCUUUCAACUAACGGUGCACUGAAGUAUGUACCUAUUUCAAUAAAGCCUUUGUAAACUGUCAAACACUGGGAAUUUUCUAGCUGCAAUUCUAGUCUAACUUGCUGCCUGCAGAGCUUUUAAUAUGUGGGUUUUUUUCAUUUAGACAGGUUACAAUUUCCACAUUAUAAAAAAAAAAAAACAGACCUCUCAGAGACGUGUAUCUUUUAGAGACCCACAAAGGCUUUCAUAUGGAUAAGAAGCGGGAAGUGCUGAAGCUGUUUAUCUGAGAAAAUGAGAGAUAAGGGUCAUGUCUAAGUGACAUGUUUUUUUUUUUCUUUUUUAGGAUAUUUUUGCAGUUGUUGGACUCUGUUUAUGAUAGUUCUGGAACUCAAUGGGAACUCAGCUUGGGUUCUAUUUUUGGUCACAUUUUUUAGAUAUAAACAUCUUCUCUUGAUGAGUCUGUAAUGUCAGAUUUCAUAGCUUUGUAGAAGCAAUGCACCCAAUUCUUGUAGAAACACACCUAAAGAGAGUCAGAGAUUAGGUUUUCCAAGGUGGUUCAACCUGCCUUCCUCUCACACUCUCUGCUGUAUGGUCUCAGUCCAGUUUUUCUCAUUGUCUUUCAUACAGCCAUUUCUUUGCAAGAUGGAUGCUCUUUAACUUAGCUGCACGAUAUUGGAGCACAUCACGGCUCAAGAUUUUUUCUCUGUGUGCCUCCCUAACACGUCAUUGGUUUACUCGCCAGCAAGAGAAAGUAGUUCUCAAUAGUCUGUUAUCCACUUUGUGUGCAGAAUAUCCAGGUGUAUAUUGGGUUUCUUUCACAAGAAAGCUACUUAAACAAGUACCUUUCUAUAGCUACUUGUGUAAGAACUCAGGUUAAUUCGUUUUAGAAUUUAAUAAUUUCCCUGGGAUUUGUGAGGGAGCUCAAGCUGUAACUGCAUCAGCAGAUAGAUGGCGUAGGGUGGCAAAAUGGAAAAUGCACGUUCGUCUGAAGUGGGAACUUCCCAGAGCUUUUUUGGUUGUUUCCAAACAAAAUUUGUUUGGAAUCUACUUUUUGGAAAAUUUAAAAAAAUAGACACGAUGCAAUGUUAUUUAUCAUUAUACUCAGAAUACAGUAGUCAUUCUUGAGAAUUUCUUACAGAAACAUACCCUUCAGUCAACGUCUAUAAAGGCAUAAAUAUGAUAGAAAGUUACAGAGAACAAUUGUUCAACACUUACCAUAACACCCCUAAAUUAAGACAUCAGGCUUCAAAGGAAGACAUUUUCUACCUAGUAUAAAAUUAAAAUUGAUUGCCAGACAUUUUGCCAAAGGGUGUUAUGCCUGAAAACCCUACAGAUGUAAAUUCAGGAAGGAAAAAUCCAUUGAUGUGGGAUAACCAUGGGAACAGAAGAGCCACAGUAGAAUUUCCAACUGAGGAACUUUCUGAAUGAUGCUUUUCAGAGGUAAAGAAAAUAAUUCCUGUACUUGCCUCUUUCUACCUUCUUUCUCUACAGAUCCAGUAGUUGCCAGUGUCUGAGAUGGAGUACCUGAACAGAAGCAGCUGUUUCUUAAGGCUAGGCUGUCCCAGUAAGGACAGAUUCACUGUGAAUGGGAAGGAGGGUAUUUGCUGGAAAUAGUAAGAAACCUGGAACUCAGAUUUUGUUACUCAAGCACCUACUUCAUUGUAAAGCAUGAAGUAAUCUUAGAAUCCAUUAAGAUCUAUUAUUACUGCUCAGCUUUACAGACCUGUUUCAUGCAGCUAUGCCUGUGUUUAAAGCAUAUACUUAAAUGUCAUAUUAAAGGCCCAGAGCAAAUGUAACCAGAAACUCCAAUUUUCAUGAUCCAUAAGCUUUAAUUCAGGUUGAAAUUAAUUUCUUUAUGCUCUAGUAAGAAAUAAAAGAAUGGAAUAAUUACUGAAACACAAAAAAUGAAAAUCAUUUUGCAGAAAAGAAUGAGGUCCUUACUUUUUCCCAGGAAUAUAAAUAUGGCCUAAACUUUCAAAGACUUUAACUGACUGGGUGUCAGCCCAGGUUGUGCAAUUCUACACCUGCAGCCAUAUUUACUGCAUUAGAAUAAGGAUAUACUUUUAAAUACAAUAAUGUGCUUCAAUUGUGUUAGUUAAGCAUGAAAACUAUUAUAAGAGAAAUUAUCAGGUGAAUCAUUCUUCACAUAUACUGGUACUGCAUUUGCUAAAAUAUUAUUUCAAUUUUGGUUUGUUUUUGUUUUGUUUUUUUUUCUUCAAAUAAAUACCUUCAGUUUUGGUGUUUGAAUCAAAACAGUAAAAACAAUGUAACAUCUGAAACAGGGUUUUCCAUUUUUUCUGUAUGAUAAGGAAAACAAAGAAUAAAUAGCUUCAUU
Molecule: RNA transcript, 3227 nt
Organism: Chroicocephalus ridibundus (black-headed gull)
Lineage: Eukaryota; Metazoa; Chordata; Aves; Charadriiformes; Laridae
Gene: FAM174A
Gene name: family with sequence similarity 174 member A
Exons: 4
Source: RefSeq, a predicted model, not a curated record